AGGACGAACGCUGGCGGCGUGCCUAAUACAUGCAAGUCGAACGCGCUCCAUUCGGUAGCAAUACUGAUGAAGAGCGAGUGGCGAACGGGUGAGUAGCACGUGAGCAACCUGCCCCGAAGACUGGGACAACACCGGGAAACCGGUGCUAAUACCGGAUAUCCCUAUCGGACCGCAUGAUCCGAUAAGGAAAUGUUUUUCGCUUCGGGAGGGGCUCGCGGCCUAUCAGCUAGUUGGUGAGGUAACGGCUCACCAAGGCGUCGACGGGUAGCUGGUCUGAGAGGACGAUCAGCCACACUGGGACUGAGACACGGCCCAGACUCCUACGGGAGGCAGCAGUAGGGAAUCUUGCGCAAUGGGCGAAAGCCUGACGCAGCAACGCCGCGUGGAGGACGAAGGCUUUCUGAGUUGUAAACUCCUUUCAGCAGGGACGAUAGUGACGGUACCUGCAGAAGAGCACCGGCAACUACGUGCCAGCAGCCG
This 480-nucleotide ribosomal RNA is filed under the name uncultured bacterium. RNAcentral describes it as "SSU rRNA". It matches the Rfam family "Bacterial small subunit ribosomal RNA", at positions 26 to 517 of the family's 1533-position model. The record is from RNAcentral.